CUGACGCUGAGGCACGAAAGCGUGGGGAUCGAACAGGAUUAGAUACCCUGGUAGUCCACGCCGUAAACGAUGAUUACUCGCUGUUGGCGAUACACUGUCAGCGGCUAAGCAAAAGCAAUAAGUAAUCCACCUGGGGAGUACGGCCGCAAGGUUGAAACUCAAAGGAAUUGACGGGGGCCCGCACAAGCGGAGGAACAUGUGGUUUAAUUCGAUGAUACGCGAGGAACCUUACCUGGGCUUAAAUGUAGAGUGCAUUUUCUAGAGAUAGGAAUUCCCUUCGGGGCUUUCUGCAAGGUGCUGCAUGGUUGUCGUCAGCUCGUGCCGUGAGGUGUCGGGUUAAGUCCCAUAACGAGCGCAACCCUUAUCGUUAGUUGCCAUCUGGUAAAGCAGGGGACUCUAGCGAAACUGCCACCGUAAGGUGAGAGGAAGGUGGGGAUGACGUCAAAUCAGCACGGCCCUUAUGUCCAGGGCUACACACGUGUUACAAUGGUCGGUACAGAGGGCAGCUACCUGGUGACAGGAUGCUAAUCUCGAAAACCGGUCUCAGUUCGGAUCGAAGUCUGCAACUCGACUUCGUGAAGCUGGAUUCGCUAGUAAUCGCGCAUCAGCCAUGGCGCGGUGAAUACGUUCCCGGGCCUUGCA
Molecule: ribosomal RNA, 642 nt
Filed under: uncultured bacterium
Lineage: Bacteria
Description: bacterial SSU rRNA
Rfam family: Bacterial small subunit ribosomal RNA
Source: RNAcentral